AUCAUCAAAUAUCAACAAAAUCUGUGUAGUUAACCAUAAAUCAUACUCCAAUAUACAACUCUCUCUAUUUAUAUACUUAAAUGUUUUCUACUUUUUGGGUGGACGAUUAAGUAAAUCACUGGGUACCAGAAUGAGCUUUAGAGUCACCGCCAAAGUUGUCGGAAUUUUGCGUCUCCGGCGGAGUGAAACAAGCUAUGAAAACUUCUGCACAGAUCGGGCGGCAACCUUGACUGGGUUU
This 238-nucleotide long non-coding RNA is filed under the name Panax ginseng (ginseng). RNAcentral's name for it is "long non-coding RNA (PGIN_LNC011849)". The record is from RNAcentral. Lineage: Eukaryota; Viridiplantae; Streptophyta; Magnoliopsida; Apiales; Araliaceae.